This 372-nucleotide ribosomal RNA is filed under the name uncultured organism. Its description in RNAcentral is "bacterial SSU rRNA". It matches the Rfam family "Bacterial small subunit ribosomal RNA", at positions 526 to 896 of the family's 1533-position model. The record is from RNAcentral.
CAGAGGGUGCGAGCGUUGUCCGGAAUCACUGGGCGUAAAGGGCGCGUAGGCGGUUUUGUAAGUCGGGGGUGAAAUGCUGCGGCUCAACCGCAGCGCUGCCUCCGAGACUGCAAGACUGGAGCACGGUAGAGGCGGAUGGAAUUCCCGGUGUAGCGGUGGAAUGCGUAGAGAUCGGGAAGAACACCAAUGGCGAAGGCAGUCCGCUGGGCCGUUGCUGACGCUGAGGCGCGACAGCGUGGGGAGCAAACAGGAUUAGAUACCCUGGUAGUCCACGCCGUAAACGAUGGGCACUAGGCGUCGGGGGGAGCGACCCUCCCGGUGCCGUCGCUAACGCAGUAAGUGCCCCGCCUGGGGAGUACGGCCGCAAGGUUG